This 333-nucleotide unclassified non-coding RNA is filed under the name Hevea brasiliensis (rubber tree). The record is from RNAcentral. Lineage: Eukaryota; Viridiplantae; Streptophyta; Magnoliopsida; Malpighiales; Euphorbiaceae.
AGCAAAAUUGAAUGAGGUCUUACAGAAGUUCACAUCUUUGGAAGUUGAACUGGAAGAAAAAAGCAACUGUUGUGAAGAACUAGAAGCUACUUGCCUAGAGCUUCAACUCCAGCUAGAAAGUGUUGCAAAGAAGGAAUCUCUGAACUACAGCAUAAAUGAAGAUGGAGCACAAAACCAAAAUGGAUCGGAGAUCACUGCAGCUUCUUUAAAGUUGGCUGAAUGCCAAGAGACCAUCCUUAACCUUGGAAAACAACUAAAGGCACUGGCUACACCAAGGGAAGCAGCUUUGUUUGACAAAGUAUUCAAUACCAAUGGUUCCACCGCAACUGCCAC